AACGAACGCUGGCUUCAUGCCUAACACAUGCAAGUCGAACGAUACCUUCGGUUCUAGUGGCGCACGGGUGCGUAACGCGUUGGAACCUUCCCUUAGGUUCGUAAUAACUCCCCGAAAUGGGUGCUAAUACCGGAUAAUGUCUUCGGACCAAAGAUUUAUCGCCUUUGGAUGUGCCCGCGUUGGAUUAGCUAGUUGGUAGGGUAAAAGCCUACCAAGGCGACGAUCCCUAGAUGGUCUGAGCGGAUGUUCAGCCACACUGGGAAUGAGACACGGCCCAGAAUCCUACGGGAGGCAGCAGUGGGGAAUAUUGGACAAUGGGCGAAAGCCUGAGACAGCAAUGCCGCGGGAGUGAUGAAGGCCUGAGGGUUGUAAAGCUCUUUUAGCCGGGAUGAUAAUGACAGAACCGGGAGAAUAAGCACCGGCUAACUCCGUG
This 433-nucleotide ribosomal RNA is filed under the name uncultured bacterium. Its description in RNAcentral is "partial 16S ribosomal RNA". It matches the Rfam family "Bacterial small subunit ribosomal RNA", at positions 29 to 507 of the family's 1533-position model. The record is from RNAcentral.